AACGAACGCUGGCGGCAGGCCUAACACAUGCAAGUCGAGCGAGCAUUUCGGUGCUAGCGGCGGACGGGUGAGUAACGCGUGGGAACGUGCCCUUUUCUGCGGAAUAGUCCUGGGAAACUGGGGGUAAUACCGCAUACGCCCUCUUGGGGAAAGAUUUAUCGGAGAAGGAUCGGCCCGCGUUGGAUUAGGUAGUUGGUGGGGUAAUGGCCCACCAAGCCGACGAUCCAUAGCUGGUUUGAGAGGAUGAUCAGCCACACUGGGAGUGAGACACGGCCCAGACUCCUACGGGAGGCAGCAGUGGGGAAUCUUAGACAAUGGGGGCAACGCUGAUCUAGCCAUGCCGCGUGAGUGAUGAAGGCCUUAGGGUUGUAAAGCUCUUUCAGCUGGGAAGAUAAUGACGGUACCAGCAGAAGAAGCCCCGGCUAACUCCGUG
RNAcentral lists this ribosomal RNA (433 nucleotides) under uncultured bacterium. RNAcentral describes it as "partial 16S ribosomal RNA". It matches the Rfam family "Bacterial small subunit ribosomal RNA", at positions 29 to 507 of the family's 1533-position model. The record is from RNAcentral.